GAUGAACGCUGGCGGCGUGCCUAACACAUGCAAGUCGAGCGGCAGCGAGGGGUGCUUGCACCCUGUCGGCGAGCGGCGGACGGCUGAGUAACGCGUGGGAACGUGCCCCAAAGUGAGGAAUAACUGCCCGAAAGGGUAGCUAAUACCGCAUAUUAUCUUCGGAUCAAAGGAUUUAUCCGCUUUGGGAGCGGCUCGCGUCGGAUUAGGUAGUUGGUGAGGUAAUGGCUCACCAAGCCGACGAUCCGUAGCUGGUCUGAGAGGAUGACCAGCCAGACUGGAACUGAGACACGGUCCAGACUCCUACGGGAGGCAGCAGUGAGGAAUCUUCCACAAUGGGCGAAAGCCUGAUGGAGCAACGCCGCGUGAAGGACGAAGGCCUUCGGGUUGUAAACUGCUUUUAUAAGUGAGGAAUAUGACGGUAACUUAUGAAUAAGGAUCGGCUAACUGCGUG
Molecule: ribosomal RNA, 451 nt
Filed under: uncultured bacterium
Lineage: Bacteria
Description: partial 16S ribosomal RNA
Rfam family: Bacterial small subunit ribosomal RNA
Source: RNAcentral